GAUGAACGCUAGCGGCAGGCUUAAUACAUGCAAGUCGUGGGGCAGCAGGUCCCGUAGCAAUACGGGAUGCUGGCGACCGGCAAACGGGUGCGGAACACGUACACAACCUUCCUUUAAGUGGGGAAUAGCCCGGGGAAACCCGGAUUAAUACCCCGUAANAUUAUGAUGUGGCAUCACAUUAUAAUUAUAGCUCCGGCGCUUAAUGAUGGGUGUGCGGCUGAUUAGGUAGUUGGCGGGGAGCGGCCCACCAAGCCUACGAUCAGUAACUGGUGUGAGAGCACGACCAGUCACACGGGCACUGAGACACGGGCCCGACUCCUACGGGAGGCAGCAGUAAGGAAUAUGGGCAAUGGACGCAAGUCUGACCCAGCCAUGCCGCGUGGAGGA
RNAcentral lists this ribosomal RNA (387 nucleotides) under uncultured bacterium. RNAcentral's name for it is "bacterial SSU rRNA". It matches the Rfam family "Bacterial small subunit ribosomal RNA", at positions 28 to 408 of the family's 1533-position model. The record is from RNAcentral.